GAUGAACGCUGGCGGCGUGCCUAAUACAUGCAAGUCGAGCGAACAGACGAGGAGCUUGCUCCUCUGACGUUAGCGGCGGACGGGUGAGUAACACGUGGAUAACCUACCUAUAAGACUGGGAUAACUUCGGGAAACCGGAGCUAAUACCGGAUAAUAUAUUGAACCGCAUGGUUCAAUAGUGAAAGACGGUUUUGCUGUCACUUAUAGAUGGAUCCGCGCCGCAUUAGCUAGUUGGUAAGGUAACGGCUUACCAAGGCGACGAUGCGUAGCCGACCUGAGAGGGGGGUGGGCCACCUGGGAAUUGGACACGGGGCCAACCCCCAAGGGGGGGCAGAAGGGGGAAACCUGCCGCAAGGGGGAAAAGCCUACCGGAGCAACCCCGGGGGGGGGAUGAAGGCCUUGGGAUCGAAAACCCUUUUUUUUAGGGAAAAAAAAAUGGUAAAGAAACUAUGCCCUUCUGGACGGUACCAAAUCAAAAAGCCACGGCUAACUACGG
Molecule: ribosomal RNA, 496 nt
Filed under: uncultured bacterium
Lineage: Bacteria
Description: partial 16S ribosomal RNA
Rfam family: Bacterial small subunit ribosomal RNA
Source: RNAcentral